GGAACAAUGAGCUUGUCCAAUGCAUAGAAUUUGAAAGGUGAGCUUUAUGAGGGGGAUAACAACAACUUGGUCGAUCGCAUGACACACGCCUGAAGGAACCAGUCGUCACGCCUGGGCUGGUGAACCAUGAACUAAAUCAAGGAAUUUAUCUCCCUGGCAACUGAAAUAAAGGGAUUGAAUCAUCGAAUGUGAAUGGUGGGUCAAGGAAGCCAAGAAGGAGCAAACACAAGGGUGAGGCAAAGGGCCACUGGCCACACUCAUAGAGAGAAGAGAGAAGGGGGAGGGAGAGAGAAACUAAAGGUUGGAGACUUGGAGGCGUGACAGGAGGAAACACUGAAAGACAA
Molecule: unclassified non-coding RNA, 344 nt
Filed under: Hevea brasiliensis (rubber tree)
Lineage: Eukaryota; Viridiplantae; Streptophyta; Magnoliopsida; Malpighiales; Euphorbiaceae
Source: RNAcentral